RNAcentral lists this ribosomal RNA (492 nucleotides) under uncultured bacterium. RNAcentral describes it as "bacterial SSU rRNA". It matches the Rfam family "Bacterial small subunit ribosomal RNA", at positions 903 to 1397 of the family's 1533-position model. The record is from RNAcentral.
AAAUGAAUAGACGGGGACCCGCACAAGCGGUGGAGCAUGUGGUUUAAUUCGAAGCAACGCGAAGAACCUUACCAGAUCUUGACAUCCCGAUGACCGGCAUUUAAUCAUGCCUUCCCUUCGGGGCAUCGGAGACAGGUGGUGCAUGGUUGUCGUCAGCUCGUGUCGUGAGAUGUUGGGUCAAGUCCCGCAACGAGCGCAACCCUUGCCUAUAGUAGCCAGCAGUAAGAUGGGGACUCUAUAGGGACUGCCGGGGACAACCCGGAGGAAGGUGGGGAUGACGUCAAAUCAUCAUGCCCCUUACGGUCUGGGCUACACACGUGCUACAAUGGCGUAACAGAGAGAAGCGAGCCUGCGAGGGGGAGCGAACCUCAAAAAUAACGUCCCAGUUCGGACUGCAGUCUGCAACUCGACUGCACGAAGCCGGAAUCGCUAGUAAUCGCAGAUCAGAAUGCUGCGGUGAAUACGUUCCCGGGUCUUGUACACACCGCCCGU